GCUAAUUGAAAAAUAGAUGUCGAGACUUCCUUUUUGAAGCUGCUAAGCAAGAACAGCCGUGACUUCCAGCAAAUAUUAAUCUGUCAGCAUUCAGUCUGUCAGUUAUUCUGUCUCAGAGAAAGCCACUAAUUGAGGUUAUCUCCAUGCUGAAACUUUUCAAAGGCGACUUAAGGGCCUUGGAUGCACAGUAUUAAGCCAUCAACUUCCAGGAGUGUAAGAGCACAGGUGACAAUGCAGAGCAGUUCUGGAUGGAAGUAUACAAUUUUCAAGGCAGUAGUGGUGAAGGGUGCUUUAAAGAAUUAGCCCUGUUUGCACUUUCCCUACUCGCCAUGCCUCUGAAUAAUGCUGAUGUGGAAUGAUGAUCAUCUGAGAGAACACAUGUGAAGUCCAAGCACCAGAACAGGAUGGGUCACUGGACUCUGAGCAGUAUAUUGCAUGUCCGCUAUGGGUUACAAAGACUGGGGAUUUGUUGUAAGGAUUUUGUCCCACACUGUGAUAUGCUUCAGUGGUUCAACACAGAAAUGUACCACAUUGAGGCAACCAAGACCAUGAAGGAGGGAAGAGAGUGAAGAUGACCAUUUUUUAAUCAUAACUUGAUGGUGGGGCAGCUGACCCUGUGCAGUCCUUGCUGAAGAUCCUCAGUCACUGAAUUCUGGGUCUCCAUGUGCUUUUCUAUGGGAGUUGAGGUCUUUUAGGCACUAGGAGAAGGACAAUGAAGUCACCCGAAGGUUACACUUAUACCUUGCAUUCAGUGUCAAUAGCUAUAGACAGGGACAAAUCUCUUUUUUCUAGGUCUUUUCUCCUGUAGGUGAUACGCAGCUGCUGGAUUUUCCGAGUGGAGGAUAUCUAGCAAACUUAGGUGCCAGAAACAGAGCUGUGUCUUAAAAAAAAAAAAAGAAAAAACCUUUUUUUUUUAAAAAGUCAUUUUAUAGCUUUAGAUUCUUUUAUUGGAGGAAGCAGGAGUUGAGCUGGUCUUUUUUUUUUUUUUUUUUUUUUUUUUAUUAUUAUUAUUAAGGUAGGCUUUUUCUUCCAAAGCUGUAGAUAAUUGUCUGGAGGAGAGGAGUCUGUGGGAGUUAAAGUACAAAGAAAGCAAAUAUAGCAGGUAAUGAGGAGUGAGUA
Chelonia mydas (Green sea turtle) is the source of this 1119-nucleotide long non-coding RNA. RefSeq lists it as uncharacterized. NCBI's taxonomy places the organism in Eukaryota, Metazoa, Chordata, Testudines, Cheloniidae. The record is from RefSeq and is a predicted model, not a curated record. The transcript is spliced from 2 exons.